Molecule: long non-coding RNA, 7215 nt
Filed under: Trifolium pratense (red clover)
Lineage: Eukaryota; Viridiplantae; Streptophyta; Magnoliopsida; Fabales; Fabaceae
Description: long non-coding RNA (TPRA_LNC001290)
Source: RNAcentral
AAAUGUCUCCAACGUUGAUUACAAAAGCAUCGGUGAGUGGUUUAAUAGAAAUCCACUGUCCAUCUUUUCGUAUUUGAAGACCGUCAAUCUCAUUUGCUUGCAGAAGGAUGGUUAAGGCCCCCGCAUCAGAAUGAGGAUUCAGUCCAAUGACAUUUUCUGGUUGGGGACAUGGAGGGUAGUAAUUCAUCCUCAUCGAUUGCAUUAUAUCAUCAAAUAACUCUAGCAUUUCAUUUUGUUCAAUUUUAAGAGCUUUUUCCAUAUGUUUGAUGAUUGUGAUGCAAACUUUUUUCAGUUCUAAACAAUAGUUCUCUAAAUUAUCUCUGCAAUAUGAAACAAUGUUAGUGCAAAAUAAUAUUGUCAAAUAGCCACUAUAAUAGCAAUAUACCUUGUCACAUUGUGGAAUUCGAACAAACAACUAAUUUUUGUGAUCUGUGAUUGACAAAUUGUAGAUCGAAAAUACAGAUGAAGUGAGAAAAAGAUAUAAAACCUGAAUGGUUGCGGAAUAUUUGGAAAUAAGCGGGGAUUCCUUGCAUAUGAUGGAAGAGUCGUAGUGAAGAAUAAAUCUGCCCAUUCUAACUUUUGAUCCUCAGAUACAACAAACAAUUGACCAAACCCCUCGAUAUCUUCUGGAGUUUGCCAAAAUUUCUUCUUCACUUCCAUUGGAAGACUUAAGAACUCUUUAACACCUAUCUUCACAUUAUCCACCAAUGAAGGAUUCACUCCAUGAUUAAUCAGCUGUAAUCAAUUUCAAUUUUAGAUAUCUUACAAAUUUAUGAAAAUCUAUGAAAGUGUUGAAUUGCAUUAAUCAGACAAUACAAAGUUUUCACCACCGUUAACAAUGGGAUACAAAAAAUGAGUUCUUUCCUUCCAACCGAAUUCUUCCCAUACACAAAAGUCAGGAAUUGAAUCCCCGACGACUUGCUUAAGAGGCUAAAGAGUAAAGACCCUCGCCACUUAGAACAAUUCAUUUUUGGUCUAAAGCUAGCAUUAUUAUUCACAGAAAAAAAGAAUUCAAACAGAACAGAACCAGCAACAUUGAAAAUAGAAAACACUAGUUCUGAAUAAGAAACAUGCAAGUAUCUCCCACAAACAAUCUUACUUCUUGCCAUACAGCAUCAAAGAUAACAUUUCUAGCAAGUUAGACAACCGUGUAGUUAAAUUAACCACCUUAUUAUUGUAAAAAAAAAAUAGAAAUUAACCACCUUAUUACAAAUUAUCAAUAAAUCUAAGAAUCUAAGUAUAAACUCUUUUAAUUAAGGGCCCUGAAGAGUGAUCAUCAAGUCCAUAGAUAAUAUAAAUUUUUUUUUUGUUUUCACCAUAAGUAUCUGGCUCGCUGAACCGCCUAAUCUAGUUCGAGGGUCAGUGUUGCAUCAAGUGGUUUCAGUCCCCUUCCGAUCACAGUUACGAGAAAUCGAACCAUGGUCAUUCCUACCAAGUCCAGCGUCAAUUACCACUGAACCAAACUAACGAAAUUUCAUUUGAAUUUACUUUAAAUUUUAUAGUAAUUAUUAUGUAAACGUUUCUUCAGAUAGUUCAAACUAGUGAAAAACAUAUAUAAUAUAGGAUGAUUAAUAGUGCAAAGUUCAAAAAAAUAGUUCAAAGUUGAAACCUGGAAGAACCCCCAUUCUUUACAUGCAUGAUCUAGCUUCUCUAGCUCAAAUGAAUCUUCAGAUAACAAUUUACUAAGGUCAAUGAUUGGAACUUGUUGUAAAGAAGUUGUAUUGGAUACAUCAAUAGGAUCUUGAUUUGGUUGAAGGUAUUGUUUUGGAACUUGUAUGCUGGGUUGCUUUGCAAUCUCUUCGACAGAAGGCACCAAUAAGGAGGUUCCAAACUUAGACAUUUUUAUUAUUGUUGAAUUAUGUUGCAUAGAUUGAUAAGGUUUCAAUUGAACAUAUUACGAAGAAUUGUUUAAUAUAUACUACAUGUUGGAGGAAAAAUCCAAAUUAAUUACUCCCUCCAUUUCAUUUCUUUUGACUUUUUAAUACUGGUUGGAGAUUGAAUCCAAUUUGAUUACUCCCUCCAUUUCAUUUCUUUUGACUAUACACACUUUAAAAAUAAUAAUAGCGAGUUGUGUUGAUUACAAUCAAAAAUAUAUUAUUACUUUUAUUUUACAUGAAAAAUAAUUUAUUAAAGAAAUUACUUUUUCAUCUUAAAAUAAACGAUAUAGUUGAUAAUUUCAUGUUUGUCAAUAUAUAUACAACUUUAAUCAUUAAUAUUUUCAAUUUUGUAUGAGUAAAAAUUAUAAAAAAUUGAUGUUUUGAAAAUACUAAUGGAAACAAAUUUAAUAUCUUAUAUAUUAAUAUUUGUUUUCAUUUAUUUGUGAAAAAAUACGGUCAAAACGAGAUAUGUGAAUAGUGUAUCUCGUCAAACUAUGUCAUUUAAAAUGGAAUAAAGAGUAUUUACAUAAUAGUUUAAAUACAAUAAAUAAAAAUAAGGUUAAAUAUGUUCUUGAUUUCUUAUUAAAUUACCAAAUUUCCUUUAUGGUUUCUAUAAAAAAAAANNNNNNNNNNNNNNNNNNNNNNNNNNNNAAAAAAAAAAAGAAGUUACAUGUUAUGAUAUCUAUAAAAUUGUUAUGUACGUAGUUUUAAUUUUUGUUGUUAAAUUAAUAUGUAUUUUUAAUAAUUAUUUUACAUAUAUUUAUAAGAUUUUAAAAAGUUCCUCGAAAAGAACUUAAAAUUUAAUUUUUAAGUGAAAAUUUUUGUUACUUUUAUCUUUAUAUUUUGAAAUUUAAAAUUUUUAUAUUAAACUCUUCUCUUUUUAAAAGUUUCUAAAGUUUUAUAAAGAAAUUUUUAUAGUAUUCAAAAUAUGCCUAAAAAAUAUUUAUUCAAAAAUUUAAAAUUUUAGUAAACAAUUUUAAAUUUAAAAAAAAAAUAACAGUGACUAAAACAGUAUACAUAAAAAUUCUGUAAGGAACUUAAUUAAACUUUAGGCCAAUGAUAAUUAUUAUUCACUACAAUAAGAUUUGGGGUUAUUACAAACACAUGACACUUUUUAUAGGGACCAAAACCAAAAUAUAGUAAUUUUAUAAAGACAAAAAAAAUAUUUAACAAAUAAAAUAUAUUAGGUAGGAAUGUGCAAAAUUUCUACAAUACGUUCAACAUGCGCUUCACUUCGUUGUCACGCCAAUUAUCAAAUAUUUGUACAAUACGUUAAAUUUGUGUUCAACUAUGUUUCCAGGUUUCAACUAUUGUUUUGAUUUUAAUUUUCUAAUUUUUGGUACAUAGAUGAAAAUUGCAAAGUUCUCAUAAACUCACAAACACAUAAAUGAGGGAGUCGGAGUUCGAAUUUCAAUCAUGACGUUCGACCUAACACUACAAAGAAUACAUGGCGUCCGAUCUAACACUUAUUUCGAUAUUUUUAUCAGUUAAGCUAACACUUAUCGAUGUUUUGAUUUUAGAGUUUCCCUUUGUAUAAUUAAAAGUUAAAAAAAGUUAAUUAAAAACUAAUAAAAUCUAAUUAUGAUUAGCAAUCUUUUUACGUCACCCCUUUAGUCACCACUUUACUAACUAUUUUAAUUAAAGGGUCAAACACAAAACAUUAAUAUACUGAAAAGACAUUUAAUAUUGACCCNNNNNNNNNNNNNNNNNNNNNNNNNNNNNNNNNNNNNNNNNNNNNNCCUAAAAGUACGCCAUGCAUGCUCAAGUGGAAGUGCAUUAACCACACAUGUAAAUUUGUUCUCUCUUUAUUCGAGAAGAAUGUCUAAAUAUAUUUAAUUUUAAAGAUUUUAGAUUUAUAUUUCUGUUUAGAAUCGUUAGGAUUUAUAUUUAUAAUAGCUUAAGAUUUAUUUUAUUUAUUUAAAGAUAUAAUUUUUUUUGUAAUCAACUUAUUUUUGAGUUUAUGCAAACAGCUUAUGUAAUUUUUAUGUAUUAUUAUAAGUUUGUCAGGGUAGUUUAUGAUAAAAUAGCUUAUAAAAAUAUAAUUUUCACUAGUGUGAACUUAUAAAAUAGCAUAAAACUUAAUUUAUAUUGCAUAAGUUGUUUGCAUAUAAGUACUGGACAGAACAGUACGGGACAGUAUAAGACAGAACAAUAUAGGAUAAAGUUUAAGAUGUUGAACAAAUUUUGUCUUUGUACGAUGUUUGAUGAACAAAAGGUUAUUUUGAUUUUUUAGACAACUUGUGCAGAGGACAAAAUGUUGUUUCGUGGUUCAGUUGAGGACAAGAAUUUAGGUUUUUUGUCCAAUCCCUUGGCCCCUAGUUUGUCCUAUUCCAGAAACAGUUUUUAUAUCAAACACAAUACAACUAAAGUUGUCUUGUCCAGACCAGUACCUUAUUUUUUAGCGAAUCAAACGCAGUAUCGCUUAAAAACAAUAGUUCUCUUAUAGUAGGUACUUUAGUUAAAUUAUAGAUAAACGAAUUUGAAGUAAUAAACACACAAGUAUAAGAAUCACAUGCUAAACCGGUUACGGUCGAGCCGAUCAAGAACCACAUACUUCUUAAGCACAGCAGUGAAAACUACAAUUUUAUAAACAUAAAAACAUCAAAAUAUUCUGCUUUUUCCAUGUAAUUUCUAAAGUGAUUUUGAAUAAUUUUGAAAGUAUUUUGGUGUCGUAAGUCAUCCUUGGUUUGAUGCAAUUUUUUCCAAAAUUUUCCAUUUAGCCACGGUUUUAGCCAUGGUGUAACCGUGGCUAAAUAACAUACCAGCACACUUUUGAAAAGUGUUCUGGUAAAAUAUGUUAAAGAGAUAAAUGUAAUUUUAACAUACCAGCACAAUUUUAAAAUAUCAGCACACUUUUGAUGUAGUUUUAACAUACCAGCACACUUUUAACAUAUCAACGCACUUUAAUAUAAGGGUAGAAUGAUAAUAUUUUAAAAUAUGUUGGGGUAAAGAGAUAAAUAUAGUGACAGAAAAAAAAAAUUCACUUUAUUUUCCUUUCAAUUCUAAAAACUCUAAGAUACAGUACUUAUUUUUUAUAAAAAAAGGUUAAAUGUUGUUUUUAUUUUUUAUUAUAAUGAGGUUAAAAGAUAGAGUUGUCAAUAAGAACUAUGUAUUCCGCCACGUCACCCCACUUUCUUUGUAUGACAUGAGAGAUUGACAGUUUCUUAUUGGAUGACCGCGUAAAAUUAUUUUAUAUCAUGCAUCUCCAUUAAACUGUAAAAGAUAUGUUUGAUAAUAUAUUAUAAUUUUUCUUAAAAUAUAAAAAAAAAAAUCUUACUAGAACUUUUAAAAAUAAUUAUUUGGCCUAACUUUAAUAAAUAUUUGUUGUUUUGUAUAAACUCAAAAAUAAAUCAAUUCAAACGGAGGUUAAUUCCCAUUUUACUAUCAACUUCGCGUUCUCUUCCAUCGCGAUGGGAUCAAUGGAUUCCGAUGCUUCCAUAGUUGACCCACUGUUAGACUUAAUGGUCCCAAUCUAUUUGGGUUGAAUAGAUCAUUAAUUUAAAAUCAGAAAUGAUCAACAAAGAAAACGUUAUCGGAAAGACCAAAUGCCUAUAAAACAGUUUUUAAAAAAUAAUUCUGGCGCAACGUACUUAUGAGACUAAGAAAUUUUGCGCUAUAACAUGAAUCAAAUAAACACCUUCCAUCAAAUUAAUAUAGAUAUUAAUUUUGAUUGCAAUGCACAAGUACACUAGUUAGUAGUUAUUAUCAAAACUUAGAAAGCAAAAAUCAUAGUUUUGACAAUUUAUCAAGCACCUUGUGUGCAAUAUGAACUAGACUAAAAUUAAUCAUUCUGGUUUAAACAUUUAGUCAAUUACAGGUAUGAAACCUUGCAACCGUUGUUUAUGAAAGUUUAAUAAUAGUAAUUUUCAAUUCCCAUGAUAGUACAAAUCCACAUUAUUGAAUUAUUUAAUUUUCUUUAGCUACCACCACAUAUGGGGUAACUAUUUUCAGACAUGUUUAUAUUUAUCCCAAAUAGUCCUACAAAACUUUUAUGGCUUAUUAUUCUCAUUUUGGAUUCUCAUAACAUCAAGGCAUGAUUUUCCUUGUAGCUGGCCUGAAAAGAAUACUUUGUAGUAGUCUUCCACUGUAAGUGUUUUGAACAAUGCAGGCAUUUCAGAAGUAACAAGACUUGGUGUUGGACCUAAAACCUUGCUCAUUGGAGGUCUGUGAAAUGUUGCAAUGGAAAUCCUCUCUUUCUUUGAGUUAACUGUAGCUCGAUGUUCAAUACUUCGAUAAAUUCCAUUGGUCAGAAUCUGCAAAACCAUUUAAGGUGAGUAUUAAUAAUUCUUAAGCCUCAGAGUAUUGAUAUAUUUAUCAGUAAGAGUGUAAAACUGAUGUACAUAGUCAUACUUUGCGACAUUGCGACCAUUUUAGUAUCUAAAAUUACAUAUGUCAAAUGAAUGGAAUGGAAUUACAAAAUUAUUUCUGAAGUUGAACAUCUUCAACUACAUUAAUUCUUUUGGAUCAGUCAAUUUUUGCUUUCGAAUUAUCUCAAGAGACUAAAGUGAAAGCCUUUGAAUUUCAGCGAUAGUUAACUUCGCGUUGUGUGCAGUUAUACAACCCUUGACUAUAGACAGUCAUAUCUCGACCGUCCAAAUAAGAUCAAACGGUCUAUAUUUCAAGUUCUAUAUUUUAAAUUUAAAAAAAUAAAAAAUUUCAUUAAAAUAUAGACUGCCAGAUCUUGAACAGAUGGUCCAAAUGCGUGUGAGUGCACGCAUUCACACUGCACCUAUUCCCCACUUGGUGCUUCAAACAUCAGACCGCAAUAAUUUUACUAAUUUAGUGUAAAAUUUAUUCACACAUAGCUCCACCGGCUAAAUGUGCUUGGCGCUUGCAUUUGAUUUUGGUUCUUACACACUGAUAACACAUAAAAGGGUAAAAUAAUAAGAGAAAAUAUGACUAAUUUUCUAUCAAUUAUUACCUCAAAAAUGUCUCCAAUGUUUAUGACAAAAGCAUUGGUGAGUGGUUUAAUAGAAAUCCACUGUCCAUCUUUUCUUAUUUGGAGACCUUCAAUAUCACUUGCUUGGAGAAGGANNNNNNNNNNNNNNNNNNNNNNNNNNNNNNNNNNNNNNNNNNNNNNNNNNNNNNNNNNNNNNNNNNNNNNNNNNNNNNNNNNNNNNNNNNNNNNNNNNNNNNNNNNNNNNNNNNNNNNNNNNNNNNNNNNNNNNNNNNNNNNNNNNNNNNNNNNNUUGGGACAAGGAGGGUAGUAAUUGAACCUCAUUGAUUGAUUUAUAUCAUCAAAUGAUUCUAGUAUUUCAUUUAGUUCAACUUUAAGAGCUUUUUCCAUAUGUUUGAUGAUUGUGAUACAAACUUUUUUCAAUUCUAAACAAUAGGUCUC